Molecule: long non-coding RNA, 717 nt
Filed under: Ursus americanus (American black bear)
Lineage: Eukaryota; Metazoa; Chordata; Mammalia; Carnivora; Ursidae
Description: lncRNA (ENSUAMG00000011792.1)
Source: RNAcentral
AUUUAACAGAUCUGGAAUGGGGCCCUUAACACGGACCAAGUUAUGCUGGUGUACAGUUUGGGAACCUCUGCUAAAAGACUGUGCCGUUCAAUGCAUGAGUGAGCAAAGUGUGUCCGGCCAACUGAUGCCAUACUCUUUCAGAGGCUUUUCCCCGAGGCCAGUCCCUGGCAGAAAUUAGGGCAUUCCAAACUGUAAUGCUAAGCAAGCCCUCACUGCAGAUUCCAAGGAGACUUGGCCUGGAGAAGAGCAGCCUUGGGCUUCCGCAGUCGAAGGAAAUGUGGAAAUUUCCUGUAUACAAGAAAUGUAAGCCCUUGCGGGUUCAAAUUUCACUUCUGUCACCAGGUAUGUUUGGAAGUUCAAGAUGGCUGCCUUUCAUUUGCUGAUAGAACGUGUGCUUCAUACAGGCUGGCAUAAUCUUUCCUUUCAGGGUUGCAGAAGCUACUGGCCAAGGCCUAGAGCAAGCUGUUCAGGAGAAAUACAAUGUGAACUACAUAUGUAAUUUAAAAAAUUUUAGGGGCGCCUGGGUGGCACAGCGGUUAAGCGUCUGCCUUUGGCUCAGGGCGUGAUCCCGGCGUUAUGGGAUCGAGCCCCACAUCAGGCUCCUCUGCUAUGAGCCUGCUUCUUCCUCUCCCACUCCCCCUGCUGUGUUCCCUCUCUCGCUGGCUGUCUCUAUCUCUGUCAAAUAAAUAAAUAAAAUCUUUAAAAAAAUUAUUUUAA